Molecule: transfer RNA, 77 nt
Filed under: Pseudomonadota bacterium
Lineage: Bacteria; Pseudomonadati; Pseudomonadota
Also listed under: 1 other name
Description: Proteobacteria bacterium tRNA-Arg
Rfam family: tRNA
About the family: Transfer RNA (tRNA) molecules are approximately 80 nucleotides in length. Their secondary structure includes four short double-helical elements and three loops (D, anti-codon, and T loops).
Source: RNAcentral
GCGCCCGUAGCUCAAGCGGAUAGAGCACCGGCCUUCUAAGCCGGUGGUUGCAGGUUCGAGUCCUGCCGGGCGCGCCA